ACAGUGAAGUGCCGAACUAUGCCACAAUCUUGGCAUACCUUCAGGAACGGAUCACUCUUGUAUUCUCCUCCAUUGUCUGUUCGGAGAACCUUAAUCUUCCUUCCUAUUUGGUUUUCAACUUCAGCUUUCCACUUAAGGAAAAUUUCAAGCACAUCAUUUUUGUUCUUCAUAGUAAACACCCAAACUCUCCUAGAAAAAUCAUCCACAAAAGUGACAAAAUAAUGCCUACCUCCGAUUGACGGAGUCUUGGCAGGUCCCCACACAUUUGAAUGCACAUAAUCCAGAAUACCCUUGGUAUUGUGAAUUGCAGUGCCAAACUUCACUCUUCGUUGUUUUCCCAGAACACAAUGCUCACAAAAUUCAAGUUUGCAAGCCUUCGUACCUUUCAACAAUCCCUGCUUGGUAAGAAUUUGCAAGGAUUUCUCUCCAGCAUGUCCCAACCUCAUAUGCCACAACUUCGUUGCCUCAGCAUCCUUCUUAGAGCUAGAAGUUGCUGCCGCUACUGUCCCCACCACUGUACUACAAAUUGUUCUUCAUCACGCCUUUCAACAUCACCAGUGCUCCUGAAGUUGCUUUAAGAAUUCCAUCUCGCAUCGUCACGACUAGGCCUUUAGAUUCUAAAGCCCCCAAUGAGAUGAAAUUCUUCUUCAACUUUGGCACGUACCGUACAUCCCGCAAAAUUUUGGUGGAUCCGUCAUGAUUCCGCAGCUUGAUUGAACCUAUCCCAGCUUUCUUACAUGGAUUAUCAUUACCCAUGUAAACAACUCCAGCAUCGAGUUCUUGAAAUUCAAAGAACCAAUCCAGAAUGGGAUACAUAUGAUAAGUACAACCUGAAUCCAAUAUCCACUCAUCUGGAUACGAUGAUGCUGAAAGCGAGACAAUUAAAGAGAUAUCUGAUUCCACGUCACUUUUGCAUUCUGCAACAUUUGCAUCUUGCGAAACCUUCUCUUUCUUCUGCAGUUUUGGACAGUCUUUCUCCCAGUGUCCUUUCUCAUGACAAAAAGCACACUCAUCUUUGGCAACGGCUCGACCUUUAGAUUUAGACAUCCCUCUUCUCUCCUUUGUUUGGCUUUGCUGACGACCUCUU
Molecule: long non-coding RNA, 1087 nt
Filed under: Phaseolus vulgaris (common bean)
Lineage: Eukaryota; Viridiplantae; Streptophyta; Magnoliopsida; Fabales; Fabaceae
Description: long non-coding RNA (PVUL_LNC000896)
Source: RNAcentral